UGUUAAUAUGGGAAUUUUUCCCAUGUUGACAUGGGCAUUUUUCCCAUGUCAACAUGGGAAAUUUUCCCAUGUUGACAUAGGAACAAUUCCCAUGUUAGCAUGGGAAUUUUUCCCAUGUUGACAUGGGAAUUGUUCCCAUGUCAACAUGGGAAUUUUUCCUAUGUUAACA
Microplitis mediator is the source of this 169-nucleotide small nucleolar RNA. RefSeq annotates it as small nucleolar RNA snR190. The record is from RefSeq and is a predicted model, not a curated record. Lineage: Eukaryota; Metazoa; Arthropoda; Insecta; Hymenoptera; Braconidae. The transcript has a single exon.